GUGGAUUAGAUACCCUGGUAGUCCACGCUGUAAACGAUGAAUACUAGGUGUGGGAGGACUGACCCCUUCCGUGCCGCAGUUAACACAAUAAGUAUUCCACCUGGGGAGUACGACCGCAAGGUUGAAACUCAAAGGAAUUGACGGGGGCCCGCACAAGCAGUGGAUUAUGUGGUUUAAUUCGACGCAACGCGAAGAACCUUACCAGGACUUGACAUCCAACUAACGAAGUAGAGAUACAUUAGGUGCCCUUCGGGGAAAGUUGAGACAGGUGGUGCACGGCCGUCGCCAACU
This 291-nucleotide ribosomal RNA is filed under the name uncultured bacterium. Its description in RNAcentral is "partial 16S ribosomal RNA". It matches the Rfam family "Bacterial small subunit ribosomal RNA", at positions 773 to 1060 of the family's 1533-position model. The record is from RNAcentral.